Molecule: unclassified non-coding RNA, 224 nt
Filed under: plant metagenome
Description: partial contains small subunit ribosomal RNA, internal transcribed spacer 1, and 5.8S ribosomal RNA
Source: RNAcentral
UCUCCGUUGGUGAACCAGCGGAGGGAUCAUUACUGGGUGUAAAAACUCCCAAACCCCUGUGAACAUACCAUCUGUUGCUUCGGCGGGAUCGCCCCGGGCGCCUUUGCGUGCCCCGGAUCCAGGCGCCCGCCGGGGGACUCCAAACUCUUGUUUUAUAUGUGGCAUUAUCUGAGUGGCUUAUAGCAAAUAAAUCAAAACUUUCAACAAUGGAUCUCUUGGCUCUG